This 253-nucleotide ribosomal RNA is filed under the name uncultured bacterium. RNAcentral describes it as "partial 16S ribosomal RNA". It matches the Rfam family "Bacterial small subunit ribosomal RNA", at positions 524 to 776 of the family's 1533-position model. The record is from RNAcentral.
UACGUAGGGUGCAAGCGUUAAUCGGAAUUACUGGGCGUAAAGCGUGCGCAGGCGGCUCCUUAAGUCAGAUGUGAAAGCCCCCGGCUCAACCGGGGAGGGUCAUUGGAAACUGGGGAACUUGAGUACUGAAGAGGAAAGCGGAAUUCCACGUGUAGCGGUGAAAUGCGUAGAGAUGUGGAGGAACACCAGUGGCGAAGGCGGCUUUCUGGUCAGUAACUGACGCUGAGACGCGAAGGCGUGGGGAGCGAACGGG